RNAcentral lists this ribosomal RNA (460 nucleotides) under uncultured bacterium. Its description in RNAcentral is "partial 16S ribosomal RNA". It matches the Rfam family "Bacterial small subunit ribosomal RNA", at positions 338 to 795 of the family's 1533-position model. The record is from RNAcentral.
CCUACGGGUGGCAGCAGUGAGGAAUAUUGGUCAAUGGACGAGAGUCUGAACCAGCCAAGCAGCGUGAAGGAUGACUGCCCUACGGGUUGUAAACUUCUUUUAUAUGGGAAUAAAAUGUUCCACGUGUGGGUUUUUGUAUGUACCAUAUGAAUAAGGAUCGGCUAACUCCGUGCCAGCAGCCGCGGUAAUACGGAGGAUCCGAGCGUUAUCCGGAUUUAUUGGGUUUAAAGGGAGCGUAGGUGGUUUGUUAAGUCAGGUGUGAAAGUUUGCGGCUCAACCGUAAAAUUGCAGUUGAAACUGGCAGUCUUGAGUACGGUAGAGGUAGGCGGAAUUCGUGGUGUAGCGGUGAAAUGCUUAGAUAUCACGAAGAACUCCGAUUGCGAAGGCAGCUCACUGGACUGCAACUGACACUGAGGCUCGAAAGUGUGGGUAUCAAACAGGAUUAGAUACCCCAGUAGUC